UUGUAAACUGAAUACUGAAAAUGAGACAAGGAAAAAGGUGCACAUCUUUGGCCACAUGUCCUUUGCAGGGGCUUCAGCUGUGUUUCCUAGACCGUCUUUACAAAUAGAGCUCCGAGAGGGAGGUCAGAGAACAGAAGCAUUAUCCACAAUACUAGGACGUGGAAACAGCCUAAUUGUCUGCCAAGAGAUGAACAGAAGACAUGGUGUGUAUACAGUGGAGUAUUACUCAGCCAUAAAAGAAGGAAGUCUUGCCAUUUGGAACAACAUGGAUGAACCUGGAGGACUUUAUACUAAGUGGAAUCAGCCAAACAGAAAGGCUGCCAAAUGCCUACGGGAAAGUCCUUUCCAAAGAGUGACCUCUAGUGGACAGGAGGAACCCUCCUCAGACAAGUGUCUUAACUCCUUUCAAAGCUUGUUUUCCACAAGAGCCUUCUGGAAUCUGGCUUAACAGGUGAUCCUGAGCUAGACUGCACACACACCUUUCCCGCUUGCCCCAGGACCCCACCUCCUGCCCAAACCAAAGAACAAGUUUGCCGGCCGCUGGCGUAAACAAGAUGUUCGAAGCGGGGAAGGUGAUCUGCGUCUGGAGGAUAGGGAUGAAGGCUUCUCCGAGGACAGACCCCGGCCACCCCGAGGCUGGGCAGGGUUGGCGUGGCCGUCCAGGAGGGCCGUCCAAGCAGGCCGAACAGCAGGAGGACAGACACACACGGAGUCUGAGAAGGAGGUGCCUGAGGCAAAGAGAAGUCUGCUUCAACCGAGGGGGCGGUUAACAGGCCACACUGUUAGGCAGUUCGGCUGGAACACGGCGGACAGGCCCCCCAAAUGCCAACCUGAGGACUCGUUCUGGAUGCGCAGGAGGCCGUGAAUGAGAACACUCAAAGGAGAAGGCACCAUGGCCGUCACGAGGUCCACCAGUUCCACUCGGUGGAUAAUGACAACUGGGCACAGGAUGGAUAAAAUCUGUCCUACCCAAGACCCCCUGGCUCAUAAGCCACAAGGUGGCCUUAAAUGCUGCCCUCCAGCUCACUGCUCUUUCCAGAGCCAUGGAGGAGAGAGGGAGAGGAGAAGGAAAGAGAGGAAGACCCAGGUGGCAAUGGUUGUGAUGAAAAAGGGAAAAAAAUCAAGGGAGCUCUAAGGCUGACUGGUUUCUGCUGGUCGAGAGAAGACAGCUGGGCAGGGGAGGUAAAGGCGUGCGGUCGGGAACAGCAGAUUCCUGCAGUGGAUGAAGAAGAUGCAGGAGACACACCAGAGCAGCAGCAGACACGUCCACAACCACCGCAGGCUCUGGGGGAGUGUGUGCCCCAGACUGGCCACAGCACCCUCCUCUCCCAGGCAAGCAAACCUCCCCCCCACACCCCGAGGAGUUAAGGAUACACAGAAUAUGCAGCGUGCACAUUUACUUGAUGGUGUCUAAUAGCAGCUGGCAUCACGGUUAUGGACGAAAAUUCAGCAGAUCAACAGGCUCAAGGGCUGAGUGGCAGGUCGGGCGCAGGGCAGCCUCGGAGUCACUGGCAGCUUUGUGGUGUUACAGGGUUUACGCCCUCAAUGGAGUGGCACAUGGAGCUGACCAAGCCCACCUGUACUAGUUCACCAGCUCGGAAGGGUAGUGGAGGUUAGAUGCGCCCAUCCACCCACAGGACACAGAGACCACAAAGCUGGUCCCCAGACCUUAACACGGGCAUUCCUAGUGGUGGGACUCGGGGUUGCUUGUACUUC
Molecule: long non-coding RNA, 1716 nt
Organism: Suricata suricatta (meerkat)
Lineage: Eukaryota; Metazoa; Chordata; Mammalia; Carnivora; Herpestidae
Exons: 6
Source: RefSeq, a predicted model, not a curated record